GCUGCUCUGAUUUGCAUAUUGCACCACAUGUGUUUUUCUUUGAAACAAACUUGCUUUGGCGGUGGGCCCAGCCUGCCGCCAGAGGUCUAAACUUACAACCAAUUUUUUAUCAACUUGUCACACCAGAUUAUUACUAAUAGUCAAAACUUUCAACAACGGAUCUCUUGGUUCUCGCAUCGAUGAAGAACGCAGCGAAAUGCGAUACGUAAUAUGAAUUGCAGAUAUUCGUGAAUCAUCGAAUCUUUGAACGCACAUUGCGCCCUCUGGUAUUCCGGAGGGCAUGCCUGUUUGAGCGUCGUUUCUCCCUCAAACCGCUGGGUUUGGUGUUGAGCAAUACGACUUGGGUUUGCUUGAAAGACGGUAGUGGUAAGGCGGGAUCGCUUUGACAAUGGCUUAGGUCUAACCAAAAACAUUGCUUGCGGCGGUAACGUCCACCACGUAUAUCUUCAAACUUUGACCUCAAAUCAGGUAGGACUACCCGCUGAACUUAAGCAUAUCAAUAAGUCGGAGGAA
Molecule: ribosomal RNA, 513 nt
Filed under: Candida albicans
Lineage: Eukaryota; Fungi; Ascomycota; Pichiomycetes; Serinales; Debaryomycetaceae
Description: eukaryotic LSU rRNA
Rfam family: 5.8S ribosomal RNA (bases 145-298)
Source: RNAcentral